GACGAACGCUGGCGGCGUGCUUAAUACAUGCAAGUCGAACGGAAAGGCCCUGCUUUUGUGGCGUGCUCGAGUGCCGAACGGGUGAGUAACACGUGAGUAACCUGCCCUUGACUUUCGGAUAACUUCAGGAAACUGGGGCUAAUACCGGAUAGGAGCUCCUGCUGCAUGGUGGGGGUUGGAAAGUUUCGGCGGUUGUGGCUGGACUCGCGGCUUAUCCGCUAGUUGGUGGGGUAGUGGCUUACCAAGCCUUCGACGGGUAGCCCGCCUUGGAGGGUGACCAGGGACAAUGGGACUAAGGGAGGGACCAGACGCGAACGGGAGGCAACGGGGGGAAGCCUGGCACAGUAAGCGGGAGCGUGAGAUGGAGGCGCUGGGAUCGGGAAGACGGCCUAUGGGUUGUAAACCGCUUUCGAAUGUGCCGUGGCGGGAGUGACGGUAAUGGGUAAAGAAGCACCGGCUAACUACGUG
This 468-nucleotide ribosomal RNA is filed under the name uncultured bacterium. RNAcentral's name for it is "partial 16S ribosomal RNA". It matches the Rfam family "Bacterial small subunit ribosomal RNA", at positions 28 to 507 of the family's 1533-position model. The record is from RNAcentral.